UAAAGUUACAAGAUAAGGAACAGUCAAAGGUAUGAUGUUAAAGAGUAGGUUUUAUCAUGUGUCAUAUGAUUAGAUGCCCCUAAAUCAAUGAUCCAGGUAACAGAAUUAAUAUGUGUAAGCAUGCAUAAUUUGGAAUCAGAAACAAGACUCUCAGUAAACAUAGUACCAGCAAAAUUAGCAGCACACAUGGGAGGAGGAGCUUAAUCACUGGAAUCCCCUGACUUGGUCUGUUGUAACAAGCUCAUCAAUUGAUCAUAGUGGUGUCUNNNN
RNAcentral lists this long non-coding RNA (270 nucleotides) under Nicotiana benthamiana. Its description in RNAcentral is "long non-coding RNA (NBEN_LNC024124)". The record is from RNAcentral. Lineage: Eukaryota; Viridiplantae; Streptophyta; Magnoliopsida; Solanales; Solanaceae.